AAAAGGUGGUGAGUUGGGGUCAAUUGGAAAGACACCUGGAGCACUUGGAGUGCCUGGAUAAAUGAUAGGUGUAGUGGGGGUGGUAGGAGUCGGGGAGUAACCACCCCCUGGAGUGCUUGGAGUUCCGGGGUCAAUGGUAGGAGUAGGUGGUGUUUCAAUGAUUGGAGUAGUUGGGGUAGUAGGUGUAGGGGAAGGAUAGUAACCACCACCCCCUGGAGUGCUUGGAGUACCAGGGUCAACGGUAGGCGUAGGUGGUGUUUCAAUGGUAGGUGUAGAGGGGGUGGUAGGUGUAGGUGUAGGCGAAGGAUAGUAGCCACCACCACCUGGAGUGCUUGGAGUUCCGGGGUCAGCGGUAGGAGUAGGUGGUGUUUCAAUAGUAGGUGCGGAGGGAGUGGAUGGUGUACUAGGGGUACUAGGUGUAGGAGUACUUGGAGUCGGGGAAGGAUAGUAGCCACUUCCACCCCCUGGAGUACUUGGAGUGCCAGGGUCUGGAGUUGGGGUUACAACAGGUGUAGAGGGGGUGGAUGGUGUACUAGGGGUACUAGGUGUUGGAGUACUAGGAGGGCUUCCUCCACCAUGAUGAGCUGGUGGAGAGGGAGAAUAACCACCACCUCCAUGACCGCCUGAUGGAGGAGAUGGGGUAGGGUUAUGGUGAUGAUGAUGCCCUCCACUAGGGGGAGUCGGGUUACCACAGUUACCACCUGGUGGGUUUCCUCCAUGACCACCGCUUCCAUGCGAAGGUGUUCCAUGACCACCUCUUGAACCAUGAGAUGGAGGU
Molecule: long non-coding RNA, 778 nt
Filed under: Capsicum annuum
Lineage: Eukaryota; Viridiplantae; Streptophyta; Magnoliopsida; Solanales; Solanaceae
Description: long non-coding RNA (CANN_LNC013734)
Source: RNAcentral